AUCGUAAGUAUUUGUAAGAGUAGUUAGGUAGAUAUGGUAUAUAACUUACUCUAGUCAUGUAAUAUUCACCAAAAGCUUUUUCUAAUAUGAUUUUUCUUAUAUCUGCUACUUUUAUAUUUCUAAGUGCAUACAAAAUAAGUAUCUUGAAUUUAUCUACCAUCACAUCAGAUAUAUUAUCAUUCAUUUUUCAUAAAUUUGCUUUUUUCAAAAUAUUCCCU
RNAcentral lists this long non-coding RNA (218 nucleotides) under Capsicum annuum. RNAcentral's name for it is "long non-coding RNA (CANN_LNC021559)". Lineage: Eukaryota; Viridiplantae; Streptophyta; Magnoliopsida; Solanales; Solanaceae. The record is from RNAcentral.